GCUCUGGCACCGAGACCAGGAACUCCUGGGAGAAUGAGCAUCCUGCACCGCCGCUUGCCGACUGCUUGCCGGCUUCAGUAGCAGGAGCCUCCGGGAUGCUUCUGAAAAUAGAUGCUGCUGUCUGCAUCACGUACAGAUCUGUUGGAUUUCGGGCGAUUAUGAAUGACCGCCAGUCCUCAAGAGUUUCCUGCUGAAAACUGGGUUCCCGUCCCACUCAGCAAGUUGCAGUUUAUCGUCAGAGGCAAUGAGUUCAACCCCAAAGUCAUCGCGACAUGUUAAGUCAAACUUUCUUGUUUCUUAAGCUCAAUUUGCUCCUCUUUUACAUGGCUACUCAGUAGGGUGUCUCGAUCGAUUUUUCAUUAAAGCCAAGGUGCCCAUAUCCAGGGAAUUUACCCUAAUUAACUCCA
Molecule: long non-coding RNA, 407 nt
Organism: Myotis lucifugus (little brown bat)
Lineage: Eukaryota; Metazoa; Chordata; Mammalia; Chiroptera; Vespertilionidae
Exons: 2
Source: RefSeq, a predicted model, not a curated record